RNAcentral lists this transfer RNA (75 nucleotides) under Candidatus Omnitrophota bacterium. RNAcentral describes it as "tRNA-Gly". It matches the Rfam family "tRNA". Rfam says of the family: Transfer RNA (tRNA) molecules are approximately 80 nucleotides in length. Their secondary structure includes four short double-helical elements and three loops (D, anti-codon, and T loops). Further hydrogen bonds mediate the characteristic L-shaped molecular structure. tRNAs have two regions of fundamental functional importance: the anti-codon, which is responsible for specific mRNA codon recognition, and the 3' end, to which the tRNAs corresponding amino acid is attached (by aminoacyl-tRNA synthetases). tRNAs cope with the degeneracy of the genetic code in two manners: having more than one tRNA (with a specific anti-codon) for a particular amino acid; and 'wobble' base-pairing, i.e. permitting non-standard base-pairing at the 3rd anti-codon position. The record is from RNAcentral. Lineage: Bacteria; Pseudomonadati; Candidatus Omnitrophota.
GCGGGUGUAACACAACGGCUAGUGUUCCAGCUUCCCAAGCUGGGUACGAGGGUUCGACUCCCUUCACCCGCUCCA